Cordylochernes scorpioides is the source of this 76-nucleotide non-coding RNA. The record is from the annotation of a GenBank genome assembly. Lineage: Eukaryota; Metazoa; Arthropoda; Arachnida; Pseudoscorpiones; Chernetidae.
UGUCCAGGGAUGGGAAUCGAACCCACAGUGUUCCGCUUACCGGGCAGAUGCCAUGUCCACUAGCCUUACCCAACAC